GCAGGUUUGGUUCCAAAAUCCUAACAAAAAUACUGGACCCCGUGCUGGAUGUAGAGAAGACAGCAGUUUUCAGAUACCUCUCCUCUUCCAGAAGCAGAUUUGGGUUACAAUGGUCACAUUGCGGUUCCAUUAGCCUGCCACCUAAAUUCAACUACUUCAGCGCACCACCAGAAUAUCUUCUCAGAGGCCUGGAGCUGUGUGUCCGGAAAACUCCAGGAAGGAAAGAAAGGGGGCCCUCAACUCCUGAUUUCACAGGCGAAGCUCCACCCUGGGCACCAUUUGUGUUGCCUGACCAUAGGGACAUUCAGCCAGUGUCGCGGUAAACUCCACAGCGGCUUUGCUACUUGCAAAUCAGAUACUGAGGGGCAGCACCAGCAGCCAAAGCUAGCGCCAUUAAGAAUAAAAC
Long non-coding RNA from Meriones unguiculatus (Mongolian gerbil), 406 nucleotides. RefSeq lists it as uncharacterized. The record is from RefSeq and is a predicted model, not a curated record. The transcript is spliced from 3 exons. Lineage: Eukaryota; Metazoa; Chordata; Mammalia; Rodentia; Muridae.